UACAGAGGUCUCAAGCGUUGUUCGGAUUCAUUGGCGUAAAGGGUGCGUAGGCGGCGCGGUAAGUUGGGUGUGAAAUCUUGGAGCUUAACUCCGAAACUGCAUUCGAUACUGCCGUGCUUGAGGACUGGAGAGGAGACUGGAAUUUACGGUGUAGCGGUGAAAUGCGUAGAUAUCGUAAGGAAGACCAGUGGCGAAGGCGGGUCUCUGGACAGUUCCUGACGCUGAGGCACGAAGGUCAGGGGAGCAAACGGG
This 252-nucleotide ribosomal RNA is filed under the name uncultured bacterium. RNAcentral's name for it is "partial 16S ribosomal RNA". It matches the Rfam family "Bacterial small subunit ribosomal RNA", at positions 524 to 776 of the family's 1533-position model. The record is from RNAcentral.